Molecule: long non-coding RNA, 926 nt
Filed under: Gadus morhua (Atlantic cod)
Lineage: Eukaryota; Metazoa; Chordata; Actinopteri; Gadiformes; Gadidae
Description: lncRNA (ENSGMOG00000025461.1)
Source: RNAcentral
UGUUCCACUCCAAGGCGCUGGAGGUCUACGCGCACACCCUGCAGAACCUGGAGACCAUGGACGUUUACAAGGACCUGGAGCUGUUCAACGGAAGGUUCCGGAUGUCGGACGCCAUGUCCGGGCCUCUAGACGCCAUGCUGACCAGCCGAUCCACGUCCUCCAUGAGCCCCGCUGCCAGCCCCACCAGGAUGGCCUCCAUGGCCAAGAGUCUUAGUCCCAGCCUGGCCUCCACCAACAACCACAGCUUCCUGGCGUCCACCAGGGGUCAGAGCUUAGGCUCCACCCUGGCCUCCAGAAAGGGCCGCAGACAACGACAAGAACAAAACCAAGCGCCACUGGGGAGGCUCUUCCCCAGCAAACUCCAGCGUCAGAAAGGAAUGGAGGAGGAGGAAGAGGACGAGGUCGAGGAGGAAGAAGAGGAGGAGGAAGAUGACGAAGAAAUGUACGAGUCAGAGAUGGAUGAGGCUCAGCAGACCCAUAGGCAAUCUUACUCAUCUCAGUACGUCCAGAGUCGUCGACAGUUUAGAUAACAGGACUCACAGUCAAACAUGGAGGCAAAAUGACGGAUGGACACAGGCAGUAUAUGUUGCAUUAGGUUUCAUAGUUAAGGCUUUGUUGGCAAGCUUUGGAGAUCAGCCAUUAGUCUUGCAAUGGAACUGUAUGUUAUGAUCACAUUCAUUCUCUAAACUGCAUGGAUUUAUGAAUCACAGAGAAAAACCAUUGUAAAAUAAAACUGAAUUGUGCCUAAAAUGUUUUUGAAACAAUAUAAACGACUCUUUUCUUCCUGUUUAAUUGCAACAGCUGCUUCUCAUGAAUAAAAUGUUAUUAUGUUGUAGCUAGCCAGGCUGUAAAAUGUAAAAGUAGAAUGAAAACAUCCUGGUGUUUGCAAUAAAUCGGAGUAAAAACCUCCUCGUAAUCGUCUUGCC